CCUACGGGAGGCUGCAGUGAGGAAUAUUGGUCAAUGGCCGGAAGGCUGAACCAGCCAAGCCGCGUGAAUGACGAAGGUGCCAAGCAUUGUAAACUUCUUUUGUCAAGGGACAAAAUCAGGCUCGAGAGCCUGACCGAGGGUACUUGAAGAAAAAGCAUCGUCUAACACCGUUCCAGCAGCCGCGGUAAUACGGAGGAUUCGAGCGUUAUCCGGAUUUAUUGGGUUAAAAGGGUGCGUAGGCGGGCUGUUAAGUCAGCGGUAAAAGCCCGGGGCUCAACCCCGGCGAACCGCUAAAACUGGCUGUCUUGAGAUGUCGAGGGGUAUGCGGAAUGCGCAGUGUAGCGGUGAAAUGCGUAGAUAUUGGGAAGAACUCCGAUUGCGAAGGCAGCAUACCGGAGUCGAUCUGACGCUGAGGCACGAAAGCGUGGGUAGCGAACAGGAUUAGAUACCCGAGUAGUC
This 459-nucleotide ribosomal RNA is filed under the name uncultured bacterium. RNAcentral describes it as "partial 16S ribosomal RNA". It matches the Rfam family "Bacterial small subunit ribosomal RNA", at positions 338 to 795 of the family's 1533-position model. The record is from RNAcentral.